AAUUUCUCAACCUCACCAGCUUUUGCUGAGUGUAGGCUUGGAUGUGGGGGUUGCAGGUCCGCUAACGUGGUCUGCUCCUCUGAAAUGUAUUAGUGGGUUGGGCCCCUAAUCUAUUGGUGUGAUAAUUAUCUACGCCGUGGAUUUGGGUGGCUGACUUAGAACCCGCUUCUAACCGUCCUUCACCGGACAACUCU
Molecule: unclassified non-coding RNA, 194 nt
Filed under: Coprinopsis phlyctidospora
Lineage: Eukaryota; Fungi; Basidiomycota; Agaricomycetes; Agaricales; Psathyrellaceae
Description: ITS2
Source: RNAcentral